Molecule: ribosomal RNA, 300 nt
Filed under: Triticum aestivum (bread wheat)
Lineage: Eukaryota; Viridiplantae; Streptophyta; Magnoliopsida; Poales; Poaceae
Description: partial small subunit ribosomal RNA
Source: RNAcentral
AUGCAGAACUCGCACCCAGUCGCUUACCUUAGCAAGGCAUUGUCACCACGAAACUUGGGGUUAUCAGCUUACGAAAAGGAAUGCUUGGCCCUGCUGUUAGCCGUCGGUCGAUGGAGACCAUACUUGUAGCAUGCAGAGUUCGUGGUGCGCACGGACCAGAAAAUCUUGUUACACCUGACAGAUCAACGAUUACACACCCCAAUUCAGCAGAGGGCAUUCAAAAAGCUGGUAGGGCUUCAAUUCAUCAUUCAGUACAAGGCUGGACUAACAAAUUGCGCGGCUGAUGCGCUGUCGCGCCGU